RNAcentral lists this non-coding RNA (103 nucleotides) under uncultured Alphaproteobacteria bacterium. Its description in RNAcentral is "TPP". The stretch from base 7 to 98 matches the Rfam family "TPP riboswitch aptamer (THI element)", at positions 7 to 92 of the family's 105-position model. Rfam says of the family: Vitamin B(1) in its active form thiamin pyrophosphate (TPP) is an essential coenzyme that is synthesised by coupling of pyrimidine and thiazole moieties in bacteria. The previously detected thiamin-regulatory element, thi box was extended, resulting in a new, highly conserved RNA secondary structure, the THI element, which is widely distributed in eubacteria and also occurs in some archaea. Analysis of operon structures identified a large number of new candidate thiamin-regulated genes, mostly transporters, in various prokaryotic organisms. Lineage: Bacteria; Pseudomonadati; Pseudomonadota; Alphaproteobacteria. The record is from RNAcentral.
GCUGCCCACGGGGGGAGCCGCGACGGAGCGGCUGAGAGGUUCCCGGCCCGGAACGACCCCUAGAACCUGAUCCGGCUCGCACCGGCGUAGGGAACGUGUACCG